GACGAACGUUGGCGGCGUGCCUAAUACAUGCAAGUUGAGCGCUGAAGGUUGGUACUUGUACCGACUGGAUGAGCAGCGAACGGGUGAGUAACGCGUGGGGAAUCUGCCUUUGAGCGGGGGACAACAUUUGGAAACGAAUGCUAAUACCGCAUAAAAACUUUAAACACAAGUUUUAAGUUUGAAAGAUGCAAUUGCAUCACUCAAAGAUGAUCCCGCGUUGUAUUAGCUAGUUGGUGAGGUAAAGGCUCACCAAGGCGAUGAUACAUAGCCGACCUGAGAGGGUGAUCGGCCACAUUGGGACUGAGACACGGCCCAAACUCCUACGAGAGGCAGCAGUAGGGAAUCUUCAGCAAUGGACGAAAGUCUGACCGAGCAACGCCGCGUGAGUGAAGAAGGUUUUCGGAUCGUAAAACUCUGUUGGUAGAGAAGAACGUUGGUGAGAGUGGAAAGCUCAUCAAGUGACGGUAACUACCCAGAAAGGGACGGCUAACUACGUG
RNAcentral lists this ribosomal RNA (497 nucleotides) under uncultured bacterium. Its description in RNAcentral is "partial 16S ribosomal RNA". It matches the Rfam family "Bacterial small subunit ribosomal RNA", at positions 28 to 507 of the family's 1533-position model. The record is from RNAcentral.